UUGCUUCCUCAGUGCCAGGAUGUCCUCUGCCAUCUUCUGCAUGGCACGCCGGUAGUUGUCCAUCUCCUAUGAUCCCAGAAUCCUCAGCUGAACCCUUACCCCAUGCCCAGCCCCCAGUAUCCCAUUCUAUGUCUGUACUCACAGUAAACCACUCCCAACUCAAUGAGCAACGUCAGCCUUGGCCUGUGCCCUAAGCCUUAGCGAGUGUCCAGAAGAGUGGUUGGGCGUGGUCUCCAUCUUUCCUGGCAGCAUUAGGCCAGCCACACUAAUGUGCCUCCUCAGGGACCACAAUGAUUCAUAUGACACCAGGGGUUCCUAGGGUUCAGCAAUCAGGUAAAGAAGCCUGCAGGCAACAUACUCAAAGUACGUUUGUGAGUAAGUCAUGUCUACGUCUUCACAUGUUCUCUCUUUCAGCUCCCUCUUCUAACCCAGCUCCUUUCCAGAAGAGCAUCUUAGACUGCCCACUGAAGUCACUGGGGAGCUGACCUACCAUCAGCUUCCCAAACAGCCCAGCAUCCAAGAAGAGACAUCAAGUAGACCCUGGAGACUCAGCCAGCACACGUCCCUUCUCCAGACGACCCAGCUGUCCUUCCAAGACCUGCCCUGGCUGUGACGGGUGCCCUCUGCUGAGAAUCAUCCACAGAAGCCAGUGAGGUACAGUGACUUGCCUGAAGUCACACAGCAAUUCUUGAACCUCAGCUGGGUCCUUUGUCAGCUCUAGGGCAGAUUAUGGGCCCAAGGCAAGGGGUAGGGCUCGGAACAAGACUUAUAGUGAUGCUAGCUCAACUUCUCCCACAGCUAAAGACACUUGAAGCUGAGCGUUGUGCACACAGGGCAGCUGGGAAGGAAGGGGAGAGGUUAAAGUGUUGCCCCUCUCCCACACAUACCCAAAUCUUUGCAAAGAGAAAAGCCUUCUACCCAACUAGCACAUUCCAUGAAUACUUAGCCCAGAUGGAAACCCAGAGGUCCCACGAACAGGAGCUCUCGCCUAACCCUUAACCCUGAACUCAAGUCUAAGACUAAUAAGGGCUUUGCAUGGUCAGGUUCUGGCCUAGUUCCCCCUGGUUGUAACCAGUCCAAAGGCGAGGCCAUUCCACUCUCCUCCCUGAGGAAUAAGCUGGCCCAGAGAAGGAAGGGCUGGAUGGUCUUUUGCUUCAUCCUGAGGGGCACAGGUACAACUGGACGUCUAUGAAAACAGUCUUCUGUGGAACUCAAGGAGUGAGGCCUGGCUGGAGAAGACUGAGUGCUAUCGUGCCCGACUCUCUCCGGCUAACCACAGUGUCUCUUGAUUCCUGGUCACCUACUCUGCUCUACACCGGCAGCUCCUCCAGGAACUCCCUCCUGCUUUCUGUUCUCUAUAACUGGGAACCUUCCUUCCUGGUGGAGCAACAUGAUGCUUCCUCUCAUGGAAAGCCCAUUGUUUACCCAGAGAGAAGCCCAGCUAACCGGGGAAGAAGGAGCCGUGAUAACAGCUUCCAAGUCAUUCCCACUGAGGACGCAUUUGAAGCUUCACCUGCUCUGACCAGCAGCCACCCCUGACCCAUACCCAGUGUGGCACUGCUGACUACCAGGGACCCCUCCCCGCAGCAGCUACUCAGAGGCCUGAUGAUAGACUUCCCUGCUGUCUACCAGGGACCCCUCCCCGCAGCAGCUACUCAGAGGCCUGAUGAUAGACUUCCCUGCUGACUACCAGGGACCCCUCCCCGCAGCAGCUACUCGGAGGCCUGAUAGACUUCCCUGCCUUUCUGCCUCUCUUAGGUAGCCACCGCUCCUGUCACCUUUGUCAUUUUGAUGGGUCCCAUGGGUCCCUCAGAGACCUUUCUUGCUAACUUUGUACUUUUAGUACUUUAAAAAGGAAUGAGUUCAACUUCUUGAAAUAAAAUGGGAUCCUUCAGCUUGUGCAAA
Mesocricetus auratus (golden hamster) is the source of this 1905-nucleotide long non-coding RNA. RefSeq lists it as uncharacterized. Lineage: Eukaryota; Metazoa; Chordata; Mammalia; Rodentia; Cricetidae. The record is from RefSeq and is a predicted model, not a curated record. The transcript has 3 exons.